GCAGUCGCCGCGGUAAUACGUAGGGUGCGAGCGUUAAUCGGAAUUACUGGGCGUAAAGCGUGCGCAGGCGGUUUUGUAAGACAGGCGUGAAAUCCCCGGGCUCAACCUGGGAAUGGCGCUUGUGACUGCAAAGCUAGAGUGCGGCAGAGGUGGAUGGAAUUCCGCGUGUAGCAGUGAAAUGCGUAGAUAUGCGGAGGAACACCGAUGGCGAAGGCAAUCCCCUGGGCCUGCACUGACGCUCAUGCACGAAAGCGUGGGGAGCAAACAGGAUUAGAUACCCCCGUAGUCCCUGUCUCUUAUAC
This 302-nucleotide ribosomal RNA is filed under the name uncultured bacterium. RNAcentral describes it as "partial 16S ribosomal RNA". It matches the Rfam family "Bacterial small subunit ribosomal RNA", at positions 508 to 807 of the family's 1533-position model. The record is from RNAcentral.